ACGAACGCUGGCGGCGUGCUUAACACAUGCAAGUCGAACGAUGAAGCGGUGCUUGCACCGUGGAUUAGUGGCGAACGGGUGAGUAAUACGUGAGUGACCUACCUUUGACUCUGGGAUAAGCCUGGGAAACUGGGUCUAAUACCGGAUACGACCAAUCUCUGCAUGGGGUGUUGGUGGAAAGCGUUAUGGAGUGGUUUUAGAUGGGCUCACGGCCUAUCAGCUUGUUGGUGAGGUAAUGGCUUACCAAGGCGACGACGGGUAGCCGGCCUGAGAGGGUGACCGGCCACACUGGGACUGAGACACGGCCCAGACUCCUACGGGAGGCAGCAGUGGGGAAUAUUGCACAAUGGGCGCAAGCCUGAUGCAGCGACGCCGCGUGAGGGAUGACGGCCUUCGGGUUGUAAACCUCUGUUAGCAUCGAAGAAGCGAAAGUGACGGUAGGUGCAGAGAAAGCGCCGGCUAACUACGUG
This 470-nucleotide ribosomal RNA is filed under the name uncultured bacterium. Its description in RNAcentral is "partial 16S ribosomal RNA". It matches the Rfam family "Bacterial small subunit ribosomal RNA", at positions 29 to 507 of the family's 1533-position model. The record is from RNAcentral.